Molecule: ribosomal RNA, 251 nt
Filed under: uncultured prokaryote
Description: partial 16S ribosomal RNA
Rfam family: Bacterial small subunit ribosomal RNA
Source: RNAcentral
ACGAGGGGCCCGAGCGUUAAUCGGAAUUACUGGGCUUAAAGGGUGCGCAGGCUGGCCCGAAAGCAUCUUGUGAAAUCCCCCGGCUCAACCGGGGAAUUGCGGGGCGAACCGCCGGUCUUGAGGCAGGUAGGGGCCAGUGGAACCAUGGGUGGAGCGGUGAAAUGCGUAGAUAUCCAUGGGAACGCCGAUGGCGAAGGCAGCUGGCUGGGCCUGUCCUGACGCUCAGGCACGAAAGCGUGGGGAGCAAACGG